Non-coding RNA from Pelobates cultripes (western spadefoot toad), 305 nucleotides. Lineage: Eukaryota; Metazoa; Chordata; Amphibia; Anura; Pelobatidae. The record is from the annotation of a GenBank genome assembly.
CGGGCAUACAACACUACAUGUUAACCAGUUAUCCCAACAAAACUCCAUUUCUAGCAUCCUACCCAGUCAAAUGUGUCCUUAAAGGUUUUCAGAGACUAACCAUACAUAAUCCCAUUAAGAGACUUCCCGUAGAUAGUAUACGGUUUAGGAGUAUCUCUGAUUUACUAGACAAGUCCCCUUUUGAGAAGGUCACGAACCUGAAAAUUUAAAUCCGCAGCCUACAUAGCCUUCUACGGUUUCUUGAGACCUGUGGAGAAGGCAUCCGAUUUUAAGUCAUGCCUUCAGCAAAAACACCUUACUAAAAC